UACAUAAUUUAUUACUUGUAGAGUAUGAGACUCUUAAUCACAAGGCCGUGGGUUCAAGCCCCACAAUGGGCAAAA
Non-coding RNA from Podarcis lilfordi (Lilford's wall lizard), 75 nucleotides. Lineage: Eukaryota; Metazoa; Chordata; Lepidosauria; Squamata; Lacertidae. The record is from the annotation of a GenBank genome assembly.